This is a non-coding RNA of Schistosoma mansoni, 78 nucleotides long. The record is from Rfam. NCBI's taxonomy places the organism in Eukaryota, Metazoa, Platyhelminthes, Trematoda, Strigeidida, Schistosomatidae.
AGCUUUUUAAAUUUGUGCUCAGAUUUCGUCAGACAGCAACCCAUUAGGGCUGAUCAGACUUUCAAGAUAAGUGAAGUU